Molecule: unclassified non-coding RNA, 344 nt
Filed under: soil metagenome
Description: partial contains 5.8S ribosomal RNA, internal transcribed spacer 2, and large subunit ribosomal RNA
Rfam family: 5.8S ribosomal RNA (bases 1-120)
Source: RNAcentral
GAUGAAGAACGUAGCGAAAUGCGAUAAGUAAUGUGAAUUGCAGAAUUCAGUGAAUCAUCGAAUCUUUGAACGCACAUUGCGCCCGCCAGUAUUCUGGCGGGCAUGCCUGUUCGAGCGUCAUUUCAACCCUCGAGCCCCCGGGCUUGGUGUUGGGGAUCGGCGUGCCCUCGCGGCGCGCCGUCCCCUAAAUCUAGUGGCGGUCUCGCUGUAGCUUCCUCUGCGUAGUAGCAACACUCGCACUGGAUCGCAGCGCGGCCACGCCGUUAAACCCCCCACUUCUGAAAGUUUGACCUCGGAUCAGGUAGGAAUACCCGCUGAACUUAAGCAUAUCAAUAAGCGGAGGA